This 301-nucleotide ribosomal RNA is filed under the name uncultured bacterium. RNAcentral's name for it is "partial 16S ribosomal RNA". It matches the Rfam family "Bacterial small subunit ribosomal RNA", at positions 509 to 807 of the family's 1533-position model. The record is from RNAcentral.
CAGCCGCCGCGGUAAUACGAAGGGGGCUAGCGUUGUUCGGAUUUACUGGGCGUAAAGCGCACGUAGGCGGACUUUUAAGUCAGGGGUGAAAUCCCGGGGCUCAACCCCGGAACUGCCUUUGAUACUGGGAGUCUUGAGUUCGAGAGAGGUGAGUGGAAUUGCGAGUGUAGAGGUGAAAUUCGUAGAUAUUCGCAGGAGCACCAGUGGCGAAGGCGGCUCACUGGCUCGAUACUGACGCUGAGGUGCGAAAGCGUGGGGAGCAAACAGGAUUAGAUACCCCUGUAGUCCCUGUCUCUUAUAC